This 378-nucleotide ribosomal RNA is filed under the name Petasospora sp. RNAcentral describes it as "Cyberlindnera sp. partial small subunit ribosomal RNA". It matches the Rfam family "Eukaryotic small subunit ribosomal RNA", at positions 582 to 975 of the family's 1831-position model. The record is from RNAcentral. Lineage: Eukaryota; Fungi; Ascomycota; Saccharomycetes; Phaffomycetales; Wickerhamomycetaceae.
AUUCCAGCUCCAAUAGCGUAUAUUAAAGUUGUUGCAGUUAAAAAGCUCGUAGUUGAACUUUGGGCCUGGCAGGCCGGUCCGCUUUUUGGCGAGUACUGACCCUGCCGGGCCUUUCCUUCUGGCUAACCUCCCCUCUGGAGAGGCGAACCAGGACUUUUACUUUGAAAAAAUUAGAGUGUUCAAAGCAGGCCUUUGCUCGAAUAUAUUAGCAUGGAAUAAUAGAAUAGGACGUUUGGUUCUAUUUUGUAGGUUUCUAGGACCAUCGUAAUGAUUAAUAGGGACGGUCGGGGGCAUCAGUAUUCAGUUGUCAGAGGUGAAAUUCUUGGAUUUACUGAAGACUAACUACUGCGAAAGCAUUUGCCAAGGACGUUUUCAUUA